GACGAACGCUGGCGGCGUGCUUAACACAUGCAAGUCGAACGAAGUGGCGAACGGGUGAGUAACGCGUAAUCAACCUGCCCUUCAGAGGGGGACAACAGUUGGAAACGAAUGCUAAUACCGCAUACUGAAGGAGGGGAUGGAGUCGGAUUAGCUAGUUGGAGGGGUAACGGCCCAACAAGGCGAUGAUAAGUAGCCGGUCUGAGAGGAUGAACGGCCACAUUGGGAAUGAGACACGGCCCAGACUCCUACGGUGGGCAGCAGUGGGGAAUCGUCCGCAAUGGAGGAAAGUCUGACGGAGCAACGCCGCGUGAGUGAUGACGGCCUUCGGGUUGUAAAGCUCUGUUAAUCGGGACGCGGUACCGGAAUAGAAAGCCACGGCUAACUACGUGCCAGCAGCCGCGGUAAUUC
Molecule: ribosomal RNA, 408 nt
Filed under: uncultured bacterium
Lineage: Bacteria
Description: partial 16S ribosomal RNA
Rfam family: Bacterial small subunit ribosomal RNA
Source: RNAcentral